Molecule: ribosomal RNA, 467 nt
Filed under: uncultured bacterium
Lineage: Bacteria
Description: partial 16S ribosomal RNA
Rfam family: Bacterial small subunit ribosomal RNA
Source: RNAcentral
GACGAACGCUGGCGGCGUGCUUAACACAUGCAAGUCGAACGGAAAGGCUCCAGCUUGCUGGCGUACUCGAGUGGCGAACGGGUGAGUAACACGUGGGUAAUCUGCCCUGCACUCUGGGAUAAGCCUGGGAAACUGGGUCUAAUACUGGAUAUGACCUUUCUCCUUAUGGGGUUUGGUGGAAAGUUUUUCGGUGUAGGAUGGGCCCGCGGCCUAUCAGCUUGUUGGUGGGGUGAUGGCCUACCAAGGCGACGACGGGUAGCCGGCCUGAGAGGGUGAUCGGCCACAUUGGGACUGAGAUACGGCCCAGACUCCUACGGGAGGCAGCAGUAGGGAAUAUUGCACAAUGGGCGGAAGCCUGAUGCAGCGACGCCGCGUGAGGGAUGACGGCCUUCGGGUUGUAAACCUCUUUCAGCAGGGACGAAGCGUAAGUGACGGUACCUGCAGAAGAAGCACCGGCUAACUAUGUG